This 77-nucleotide transfer RNA is filed under the name Spirosoma sp. 48-14. Its description in RNAcentral is "tRNA-Arg". It matches the Rfam family "tRNA". From Rfam's summary of the family: Transfer RNA (tRNA) molecules are approximately 80 nucleotides in length. Their secondary structure includes four short double-helical elements and three loops (D, anti-codon, and T loops). Lineage: Bacteria; Pseudomonadati; Bacteroidota; Cytophagia; Cytophagales; Cytophagaceae. The record is from RNAcentral.
GCAUUCGUAGCUCAAUUGGAUAGAGCACCUGACUACGGAUCAGGAGGUUUGGGGUUCGAAUCCCUACGAGUGCACUA